AACGAACGCUGGCGGCAUGCCUAACACAUGCAAGUCGAACGAGACCUUCGGGUCUAGUGGCGCACGGGUGCGUAACGCGUGGGAACCUGCCCUUAGGUUCGGAAUACCUCCCCGAAAGGGUUGCUAAUACCGGAUAAUGUCUUCGGACCAAAGAUUUAUCGCCUUUGGAUGGGCCCGCGUUGGAUUAUCUAGUUGGUAGGUUAAAAGCCUACCAAGGCGACGAUCCAUAGCUGGUCUGAGAGGAUGUUCACCCACACUGGGAAUGAGACACGGCCCAGACUCCUACGGGAGGCAGGAGUGGGGGAUAUUGGAAAAUGGGCGAAAGGCUGAUCCAGCAAUGCCGCGUGAGUGAUGAAGGCCUUAGGGUUGUAAAGCUCUUUUACCCGGGAUGAUAAUGACAGUACCGGGAGAAUAAGCGCCGGCUAACUCCGUG
This 433-nucleotide ribosomal RNA is filed under the name uncultured bacterium. RNAcentral describes it as "partial 16S ribosomal RNA". It matches the Rfam family "Bacterial small subunit ribosomal RNA", at positions 29 to 507 of the family's 1533-position model. The record is from RNAcentral.